Molecule: long non-coding RNA, 887 nt
Filed under: Pongo abelii (Sumatran orangutan)
Lineage: Eukaryota; Metazoa; Chordata; Mammalia; Primates; Hominidae
Description: lincRNA
Source: RNAcentral
AAAAAAGAAAACUCAGCCUCAGCUAGGAAUUAGAAACAUCAUUUGUCCUCUUGGGCUGUUCGGUUGGUGACUGUAGUCCCAGACGUCUAUGGAUUCCUGCAGGUCACCUCUCCUUUUCCUGCUGCCAUGCCUCCUCCUCCCCUUGGUCACUACCACACCACUGAAAAUGAGGGGGUCUUGGCGGUGCAAAGCUACACUUCUAGCCACGAUUUUGUGGGGACUGGCUGGGAUGAAAAAUUUCAUGAAAAAGGGAAACUUGGGACUCCGGAGGACCAAGGUGGAGCGAGACGGUCAAUACUGAUGGACUUGCAGCUAGCACCAUGGCAGCCCUGCCUGGUCUAGGGAAGCUGGCAGGAGGCGAUGGUACCUGGCGGGGGCAGACUGCCCACCUACCACUCCUUCAGAGGACUGUUUCCUGCCCUUCGCACCAUCAUCAUGUUGGGCCCUGCAUGUAUGUCCCUGCACUUGGAGCGAGCCCAGGGACACAGGGCGGACACAGGGCAGACACUGGGCCUGCAGAUGUUGCUGCAGCUGAGCCAGAAAACAUUCCAGGCCGGAAAAGCAGGCGCACACAUUCACAGGCCUCUGGGCACUCCACCAGCCAGAACGAGACUGACUCCUUGACCUGAGAAGUCAAGUCUCAGCGGAAAGGGCUGGAAAUCACACAUGGUCAACUUCUCGGCUCUCUCCGCUCCCCAAACCCUGGCCCUAGGCUUGCUUUAUCAUUGCAUCCCAAGGCCAGAGGGCUGCCGCUGUCCCCAACUUGGCCCUGCCAGAAGAGGGAUGGGGUGGCUGGCAUGAUGGGUGAGGGGAACAUGAGAAUGUGCAGAGGCCUUGGAGGAAAAGGACUGGCAGUUAUGACAGGAAGGCUGUCUAUACCUGGCUCC